UGGAAGGUGUGUAUGUAUAAGUGCAUG
This 27-nucleotide non-coding RNA is filed under the name Mus musculus (house mouse). Lineage: Eukaryota; Metazoa; Chordata; Mammalia; Rodentia; Muridae. The record is from RNAcentral.